This 366-nucleotide RNase P RNA is filed under the name Herbinix hemicellulosilytica. RNAcentral describes it as "Bacterial RNase P class A". It matches the Rfam family "Bacterial RNase P class A". From Rfam's summary of the family: Ribonuclease P (RNase P) is a ubiquitous endoribonuclease, found in archaea, bacteria and eukarya as well as chloroplasts and mitochondria. Its best characterised activity is the generation of mature 5'-ends of tRNAs by cleaving the 5'-leader elements of precursor-tRNAs. Lineage: Bacteria; Bacillati; Bacillota; Clostridia; Lachnospirales; Lachnospiraceae. The record is from Rfam by way of RNAcentral.
UGAGUAGCACAGAUGGUCGCGCCUUUUAUAAGGUGAGGAAAGUCCGGGCUUCAUAGGGCAGGGUGCCGGAUAACGUCCGGUGGAGGCGACUCCAAGGCUAGUGCAACAGAAAUAAACCGCCGAGGCAUUUUGCAUCGGUAAGGAUGGAAAGGUGGUUUAAGAGACCACCGCCCUUCCGGUAACGGAAGGGGCAGAUGUAAACCCCACCCGAAGCAAGGCCUAACAGAAAGCGAUACGGUGGCCCGCCGUGCUUUCGGGUUGGCCGCGCGGCAACAGGCGAAAGCGGUUGCCGGAGCUGUAUGGCGACAUACAGUCCAGACAGAUGACCAUCCGCGACAGAACCCGGCUUACAGUGCUACUCAUAUU